UAAAAAGUCAAGAGAACUUCCGCAUACGCAUCCACGUUGUACACAAACCCAUAUCGCAGGUAGGAUCAGUGACACAUGGGGUGAAGCUGAAUAAACCUAUGAGUCAGUGACAGCAAACUCGUCCAAGUUACCGUGGUUACUUGUGUCCCAAGGAAAGGUGAUGAGAAGAUCAAAGGACGUGCUGUAGAGUAACCAUGGCAACAACCUUGAGACUUCAUAACUCUUUCAUUCUGGAAAUUUGUUUAAGGAUUUUCUUAGCAAUAUUCUUUUAUAUUUCUGAUGAUGCUGUUCCAUUCCGGAGAAAGAUACAACCGGAAGAGUACUGGCUGUACCAGUUCCCACGCACACCUAGUUACUACCCCAGUAGAUACUUAUGGAGAACAGUUUAUGGAGCCCCGAUCAUGGUGAUAGGAGCGAUGUACCUGUGGAAAAAGGAUAUUACAGAUCUAAAGCAGGCUGUCCUAGGUGUAGUGUUGUCUGUUUUCCUGACUGGGUCUGUAACUAACUGUAUCAAGCUAGGUGUCGGCAGGCCCCGGCCAGACUUCAUAGCACGCUGUUUUCCCGAUGGGGCUUUUAACGAUGAGUUCCGCUGUACAGGAAAUGAGCUUGAUGUGAUACAGGGGUAUAAAAGUUUCCCUAGUGGCCAUUCUUCAUUUGCCUUCAGUAGCCUUGGUUUCCUGGCCCUGUAUGUAGCUGGAAAGCUGCAGUGUUUCAGUCAUCGGGGCAGAGGUCAGACAUGGCGUAUGUUUUGUGUUGUCUGCCUCCUCCUUUGGGCUGUUAUGAUCAGUGUGUCACGCACCGCUGACUACCACCACCACUGGCAAGAUGUGAGUGUGGGAUCAGUCCUGGGGAUGGCCAUUGCCUACAUGUGUUACAGACAGUACUAUCCUGCGAUCAACAAACUCAACUCGGACAUUCCUUACGUAUCAAUAACACAGGAACUGGAAAUGCCGUCAACUCCUCUCUUUUCUAACACAGCCAAUGAUGACAUUUUAAAGAUAGUGUGAUUCUUUAGGAUUUGUGUAUUUAGUUAAAUUGUUGAUGUAAGUCAGACUAUGGCUGUGUAUGUUGAUAACAUACUUAAGGCUAUAUGCUACCUUAUUGUGUAAUCUAUAUAGAUCAGUUGUCGAUGUAAGUGCAGAGACUACAGCUCUGUGUGUGUUUGUCAAUAAUGUAUGCUACCUUAGUGUAUUAAGUUAAAUUGUUGAGGUAAGUUAGACUAUGGCUGUGUGUUUGUCAAUAACAUACUUAAGGCUGUAUGCUACCUUAUUGUAUUUAGUUAAAUUGUUGAGGUAAGUUAGACUAUGACUGUUUAUGUCUAUAACAUACUUAAGGCUGUAUGCUACCUUACUGUUUAUGUACUGGUAGUUUAAAUGUUGAGGUAAGUUAGACUGGCUGUGUGUUUGUCAAUAACAUACUUAA
Mizuhopecten yessoensis (Yesso scallop) is the source of this 1422-nucleotide RNA transcript. It is a transcript of the gene named phospholipid phosphatase 5-like, with no coding region annotated. NCBI's taxonomy places the organism in Eukaryota, Metazoa, Mollusca, Bivalvia, Pectinida, Pectinidae. The transcript has 10 exons. The record is from RefSeq and is a predicted model, not a curated record.